CUCUCCCGCGCCAGCUCUUCGGGACGCGGCCUCCCAGCGGACGCCCUGAGACCUUGCAAGUCCGCUAGGGAGGGGUCGGGACGAGCCGUCGCGGGUGGAUCCGCCCGGCCGAGCAACGACCCGCCCGGGCGCGAGGACCACGGGCUGUCGUGCGGGAGGCGUCGAGGGGCAGUAAACUCCGUUCGUGACCAAACGGAGACGAUUUGAAACUUGCUGCUCACACUGGAUCACCGUCUGGAAGGUGCGACGGGGAAAAAAUACACAUUACACUCCAGCAGGAUUGAACGCUUUCACCCUGUGCCCCGCGCCUGGCGUAACGCGUGGCCCCAGAC
RNAcentral lists this long non-coding RNA (332 nucleotides) under Homo sapiens (human). RNAcentral's name for it is "non-protein coding lnc-ITPA-2:4". The record is from RNAcentral. Lineage: Eukaryota; Metazoa; Chordata; Mammalia; Primates; Hominidae.